RNAcentral lists this ribosomal RNA (432 nucleotides) under uncultured bacterium. Its description in RNAcentral is "partial 16S ribosomal RNA". It matches the Rfam family "Bacterial small subunit ribosomal RNA", at positions 29 to 507 of the family's 1533-position model. The record is from RNAcentral.
ACGAACGCUGGCGGCAUGCCUAACACAUGCAAGUCGAACGAGACCUUCGGGUCUAGUGGCGCACGGGUGCGUAACGCGUGGGAACCUGCCCUUAGGUUCGGAAUAACUCCCCGAAAGGGGUGCUAAUACCGGAUAAUGUCUUCGGACCAAAGAUUUAUCGCCUUUGGAUGGGCCCGCGUUGGAUUAGCUAGUUGGUAGGGUAAAAGCCUACCAAGGCGACGAUCCAUAGCUGGUCUGAGAGGAUGAUCAGCCACACUGGGACUGAGACACGGCCCAGACUCCUACGGGAAGCAGCAGUGGGGAAUAUUGGACAAUGGGCGAAAGCCUGAUCCAGCAAUGCCGCGUGAGUGAUGAAGGCCUUAGGGUUGUAAAGCUCUUUUACCCGGGAUGGUAAUGACAGUACCGGGAGAAUAAGCUCCGGCUAACUCCGUG